Molecule: ribosomal RNA, 504 nt
Filed under: uncultured bacterium
Lineage: Bacteria
Description: partial 16S ribosomal RNA
Rfam family: Bacterial small subunit ribosomal RNA
Source: RNAcentral
AUUGAACGCUGGCGGCAGGCUUAACACAUGCAAGUCGAGCGGGGUGAUGGUGCUUGCACUAUCACUUAGCGGCGGACGGGUGAGUAAUGCUUAGGAAUCUGCCUAUUAGUGGGGGGACAACAUCUCGAAAGGGAUGCUAAUACCGCAUACGUCCUACGGGAGAAAGCAGGGGAUCACUUGUGACCUUGCGCUAAUAGAUGAGCCUAAGUCGGAUUAGCUAGUUGGUGGGGUAAAGGCCUACCAAGGCGACGAUCUGUAGCGGGUCUGAGAGGAUGAUCCGCCACACUGGGACUGAGAACAGGCCCAGACUCCUACGGGAGGCAGCAGUGGGGAAUAUUGGACAAUGGGGGGAACCCUGAUCCAGCCAUGCCGCGUGUGUGAAGAAGGCCUUAUGGUUGUAAAGCACUUUAAGCGAGGAGGAGGCUCUUUUGGUUAAUACCCAAGAUGAGUGGACGUUACUCGCAGAAUAAGCACCGGCUAACUCUGUGCCAGCCGCCGCGGUAA